Hippopotamus amphibius kiboko is the source of this 1125-nucleotide long non-coding RNA. RefSeq lists it as uncharacterized. The record is from RefSeq and is a predicted model, not a curated record. The transcript has 3 exons. NCBI's taxonomy places the organism in Eukaryota, Metazoa, Chordata, Mammalia, Artiodactyla, Hippopotamidae.
UCCCCCCCCCCCCGUUUAGUCCCUUCUCCAUUUUCUGGGGCUCCUGAGUAGUGAGCUGAGAGGUGGAGGAAGCCCUUCCCGGCAGCAUGCCGUCCAGUGAAUGACGCAUCAGAGUCAGGUCCCUCCCUCUGGGGGAGGGUUGCCCAGGCCGAGCGCCCAGCCUUCCUGGAUCAGCCCGCUCCCGUGAGGUGAGGCGUGGAGGUGGCAUAUAUCCCCUGGAUUUCCCCAUCCCGUCCUAGGGGCAGCCCAGAGGGCAGGGCCAGGAGAGGACUGGACGGUGAGGGGGUGGUCUUCAGCUGCCUCCCUCCCUGGGGGCCGUGGUGGUCCCCCGCAGGAGCCGUGUCCGCAGGCCAAGAACAGAACCAGCCACCACACACCUGCCUGCCCAGCCUGGACCCCACCCUUUAGGUUCUUCUGGUCCUGCCCGAAGAACCAUUUCCUGAGCCUCGGUAUGGUACACAAGGAAAGAAAGAAACUGUGAGGGCAGAAGGAAGGCGAUCUGGGCUGGGCUGAGAACCAGUUUCCAGGAUCACAGUCUCCCAGCAAGACACCCCAAGCCGCUUCUGGACUUUGCUCCCCAGUUAUCACCACAGGCAGGCUGUGGAGGAGGAGCGAGGACGCUGAAGAAAGGAGUAUUCAUCUGUUUCUGCCAGGCAUGUGCUGGGCGCAGGGCCAGAGAGGCGAGGGACUUGGCGGCCCUGUCCUCUGCCAGCAGGCGGAACCGAGCCCACACUGUGAAGAGAGGCAGAAACCCCUGGUGGGAGCUGGACGAGCUCAGCGGGAGGGACAGGUGGUACCUCUGCCCAGAGGAAGAAGAACAGAUUUCACGGAGAGGCCAAGAGAAAAGACAACUUCACGACAGGAGGAGGGGACAGUGGCCAGAAGCCCCAAACAGUAAAGAAAGUUUCUGUUUAGGAAGAGGAAGACAGAUGAUGGAUGGAUGGCAACAGUUACACCUGGAGAUGGGUGGUGGUGACAGUUGCACAACAUGUGAAUGUACUUAGAGCCACUGAACACUUAAAAAAUGGUUAAAAUGGUAAAUUUUGUGUUAUGUAUAUUUUCACAAUUUUUUAGUGACGUAUAGUUGACUUACAAUGUUGUGUUAAUUACUGCUGUACAGCAAAG